This 254-nucleotide ribosomal RNA is filed under the name uncultured bacterium. Its description in RNAcentral is "partial 16S ribosomal RNA". It matches the Rfam family "Bacterial small subunit ribosomal RNA", at positions 524 to 776 of the family's 1533-position model. The record is from RNAcentral.
GACGAACCGUGCAAACGUUGUUCGGAUUUACUGGGCGUAAAGGGCGCGUAGGCGGUCAGCACAAGUCAGUUGUGAAAUCUCCGGGCUUAACUCGGAAAGGUCAACUGAUACUGUGCGACUAGAGUGCGGAAGGGGCAACUGGAAUUCUCGGUGUAGCGGUGAAAUGCGUAGAUAUCGAGAGGAACACCUGCGGCGAAGGCGGGUUGCUGGGCCGACACUGACGCUGAUGCGCGAAAGCCAGGGGAGCGAACGGG